Molecule: unclassified non-coding RNA, 256 nt
Filed under: Pertusaria sp.
Lineage: Eukaryota; Fungi; Ascomycota; Lecanoromycetes; Pertusariales; Pertusariaceae
Description: partial contains 5.8S ribosomal RNA, internal transcribed spacer 2, and large subunit ribosomal RNA
Source: RNAcentral
AACGCAUAUGGCACCUUUUGGUCUUUACUGAAAGGUAUGCCUGUUUGAGAAUCAUUUAUCCCUUUGAUCCUUUUGAUCGCACUUGCUUGAGUGCUGAUCCCCUGGUCAAGACAUGGACCUUCAUCACUGAUCGUCUUGAAUCUAUGCACGGAUUGUUCGUGACAAAGAGGCGCACUUGUUGCGCUGUUGCUGUUGAUCGAUCAAUCCAUCCCUCACCAAUGAUCUCAAAUCAGGCAAGACUACCCGCUGAACUUAA